GGUUCCACAGUGCAGCGGUUAGAACAUCUGCUUUACACACAGAAGGUCCUGGGUUCACGCCCCAGUGGAGCCA
RNAcentral lists this transfer RNA (73 nucleotides) under Pteropus alecto (black flying fox). It matches the Rfam family "tRNA". From Rfam's summary of the family: Transfer RNA (tRNA) molecules are approximately 80 nucleotides in length. Their secondary structure includes four short double-helical elements and three loops (D, anti-codon, and T loops). The record is from Rfam by way of RNAcentral. Lineage: Eukaryota; Metazoa; Chordata; Mammalia; Chiroptera; Pteropodidae.